AGGAAAGUAGGGGAUCGCAAGACCUUGCGCUUUUGGAGCGGCCGAUGUCUGAUUAGCUAGUUGGUGAGGUAAAGGCUUACCAAGGCGUCGAUCAGUAGCUGGUCUGAGAGGACGACCAGCCACACUGGGACUGAGACACGGCCCAGACUCCUACGGGAGGCAGCAGUGGGGAAUUUUGGACAAUGGGGGAAACCCUGAUCCAGCCAUGCCGCGUGAGUGAAGAGGGCCUUCGGGUUGUAAAGCUCUUUCAGCCGGAACGAAACGGUCACAGCUAAUACCUGUGACUACUGACGGUACCGGAAGAAGAAGCACCGGCUAACUACGUGCCAGCAGCCGCGGUAAUACGUAGGGUGCGAGCGUUAAUCGGAAUUACUGGGCGUAAAGCGUGCGCAGGCGGUUUUGUAAGUCAGAUGUGAAAUCCCCGGGCUUAACCUGGGAACUGCGUUUGAAACUACAAGGCU
RNAcentral lists this ribosomal RNA (461 nucleotides) under uncultured beta proteobacterium. RNAcentral's name for it is "bacterial SSU rRNA". It matches the Rfam family "Bacterial small subunit ribosomal RNA", at positions 190 to 642 of the family's 1533-position model. The record is from RNAcentral. Lineage: Bacteria; Pseudomonadati; Pseudomonadota; Betaproteobacteria.